UACGGGGGGGGCAAGCGUUGUCCGGAAUUACUGGGCGUAAAGGGCUCGUAGGCGGCCAUCUAAGUCGGACGUGAAAUCCCCAAGCUUAACUUGGGAACUGCGUCGGAUACUGGAUGGCUUGAGUUCGGGAGAGGGAUGCAGAAUUCCAGGUGUAGCGGUGAAAUGCGUAGAUAUCUGGAGGAACACCGGUGGCGAAGGCGGCAUCCUGGACCGACACUGACGCUGAGGCGCGAAAGCUAGGGUAGCAAACGGG
Molecule: ribosomal RNA, 253 nt
Filed under: uncultured bacterium
Lineage: Bacteria
Description: partial 16S ribosomal RNA
Rfam family: Bacterial small subunit ribosomal RNA
Source: RNAcentral